This 72-nucleotide transfer RNA is filed under the name Trichomalopsis sarcophagae. RNAcentral's name for it is "tRNA-OTHER". The stretch from base 8 to 64 matches the Rfam family "tRNA", at positions 8 to 63 of the family's 71-position model. Rfam says of the family: Transfer RNA (tRNA) molecules are approximately 80 nucleotides in length. Their secondary structure includes four short double-helical elements and three loops (D, anti-codon, and T loops). Further hydrogen bonds mediate the characteristic L-shaped molecular structure. tRNAs have two regions of fundamental functional importance: the anti-codon, which is responsible for specific mRNA codon recognition, and the 3' end, to which the tRNAs corresponding amino acid is attached (by aminoacyl-tRNA synthetases). tRNAs cope with the degeneracy of the genetic code in two manners: having more than one tRNA (with a specific anti-codon) for a particular amino acid; and 'wobble' base-pairing, i.e. permitting non-standard base-pairing at the 3rd anti-codon position. Lineage: Eukaryota; Metazoa; Arthropoda; Insecta; Hymenoptera; Pteromalidae. The record is from RNAcentral.
GUGUUUGUGGUUCAGUGGUAGAGUAAUGGCCUACAAAUCCAAAGGUUGUGGGUUCGUUUCCCGCUUGGGAAA